UUUAGUUGGUCUACGUUGUCAUGAAAGCAUUUUGUGCAUGUUAAUUUGGAAUAAAUUGGAGAUCUUUUCGAAUUUAGGCUUUGAAUUGUUGGGGAAAAAGUUUUUACUUAGAUACCUGCUAACUAGCUAACUCAAGAGCUAUGACUUCAUCAUUGAGUCUUGAAGAUUAUCUUAGGCGAAUUAUCUAUGUAAAUAAUACCCACAAUGAUUACUAUGUUGGGGACCCUGACAAAUAUCGAAAGGAAAUAUCUAGUCAAAGACAUUCUACAAUUGAUAGUGCUAUAGAAAAUGAGUUAAAGGAGGUAUUUUCUGUCCUCGAUGCUGCUAAUAGUGAUAAAAAUUUACCUAGCCGUUCUACAAUAUUUAUGUUCUUGGGCCAAUUGCUACAUCAUGAAAAGAUGACUCCAACCUUAAAAAGUCAAGUGACGGCGAAAGUAUUGCAGCUGUGUCAAUCUGAUGAAGACUUCUUUGAUUUCAUCAAGUAUUACACUCAACUAAGGAAGAAUUGUAAACUUCCAUCGUCCGUUGAAAAGAUUGUUAAAAAGUAUUAUACGAAGAAGUCCUCUCUAGAGUUAGCACAAUCUUUUGCUCAAUUUAAUAGUUUACAUACGUGGACGCAUAAAGAUCUCAUUAAAUUAGCUCAUGUAAAACCAGACACAACAUUGAAAGAUGCGGUUAUUAAAUACAUAUUAAAAAAGCAGCCCAACGAUAGAGCAAAUGAAGAGGAACAAAAAGUUAUGGAUAUUUUACGAAAAACAACUGAACUUCGGAGCACCACUGAAGCUGUAAAUGCUGUACCACUGUUAGCUGAAUUGAAGUUAACUAUCAAGCAAGUUUCACCUUCUUUGCACCAAAAUCUUGAGGUAUGGUCUGCGGCAAUUGAGAACAUGAAAAUUCAGGAAAUAUUACCUCAUCUGGAAAAAUUAUAUAAACUGGGCCUUCUAAAACCAUCAUGCGAGCCCAAUAUCAGUAACCAAUUAAUAAAUAUUUUCACUAGUCCGGACACUGUCAAAGCUAGUGGAGUUCAUCCCAUUGAAGUUUUCACUUACAUGAAAAGACUGGAAAAGGGUGGAAAACCAUUAGAUCCGAAACUUGUACAUCAUUUACAAAAUGACAAAAAAAUCUCUGAAGAAAAUCUAAAAAAAGCUACAGUCAGAACAGAAGCUAAAUGUAUUCAUAUACUAAAUGCCCUGCAUAAAUGUUUCAAUUUGGCUUGUAAUAACGUGUCGCCGACCAACAAAAGAUAUCUGGUAACAAUUGACGUAACAGAUCAAGCCAAAAAGGCACAAUGUAUGGGUAACAAAGCUUUAACUUCUUUGGAAGUGGCUGCCGCUUAUACACUGGUUUUAUUGAGGGUCGAAAAGGAUGUGUUUAUUGGAACUUUUAAAGAUGACAAAGUGUGUGUGCAUAGUAUUACCAAAAAAAUCUCCUAUGCUGAUUUACUGAAGAAAAUUUCAGCGGAAACAAGCACCUCUUCAAUGGUCUGGUCGUCAAUAGAUUGGGCAACCUCUCAUAAAAAGAAUAUCGAUGUGUUCGUUAAUUUCAUCGACUCGCAUUUCUUUGCCAACUUUAUCAAGGAGAAAAAACGCGAACCCUAUUUUCAAAGCAUAACAGACUAUAGGAAAAAGAUGAAUGUGCCCAAUUCAAAGUUCCUAAUCUUUUAUACAGAUGAUCGCAUCAACUGUCGCGUUGUAGGAAGGGAUGAAAUGUCAAAUGUCUUGGACGUAAAUGGCUUUGAUUAUCUAGCAUGCAAAGUGGCAGAAUCUUUCAGCAGAGGCGCAUUCUGCUAAGCGACUUAAAAAGGUUUUUCUUAUUUUAAAUAAAUUGUGGUCCCAAAAAAAAUGUCACAGAGGAUACAUCCGCGGGCUUAAGAGAAGGGCUUUUUUUAUUCACUCCUCAAGUUCUUUAUUUAAAAGUAAUGAUGCAACAUAUUUAGAGUAUAUUUUUAUUUAUGACUUUAUUUGUGACUGUGUGAAGCAGUGUAUUUUACCCAAUGUGAUAUUGGUACCACUAAUGAUGAUGAUAGUUCAUUUGAACUAUUAUUUAAAAAACUGAGAUAUGGUUAUCCAUCCAUAAAAGAAGUGUUCCAUUAUAUUAUAGAAAAAAAAACUUUAUUUCUCUGUGAAUUAGUGAAUCGACAUUAUGUGAAUCGACUUAAAAUCAAUAAUAUUUAUUUUUUUAUUAAUAGAUUACAUAAAAUUUCCAUGUAAUACUGCCAUAAAUUCUCUUCAUCCAGAAAGUUCAAAUUUACAGUUAUUCUUUCGUUUUUGUUUUUGUUGUGAUUUUAUUUUUAUAGUUUAAAUAAAUAGCUCACCUAACGAAUAGCUAAAUAUUGUUUAGUAUUAAAGUUAGAAAAAAAUAUAUAAAAAAUACAAAAAAAUCUGAUGUUAAUUGCUUUAAUGAUAAUUAACUCUAAGAUUAAAUACCUUGUGCCUUUGAUACAUGGAAAAAUAGAAAUAAUUUUAAUCGAAGUAAAAAAUAGGUAGUGUUAACUUAUUUUCUACUGUAUUUUAGUGGUAUAUGCUUAGGAUAAUAUUAAGAGUUUCACAGGCUCUAAUGCAUUACCAACCUAAAGAAAAAAUAAAUAGUUUUUAAGGCUGUGUUUAUAUUACCUCAGUUGUGGCUGAAAUAGCACCAAUAUAAAAAGUUUUUUUAUCAACCAAAGUCGUUAUUUUUUUUCAAUAAAGGUAAUGCACUAGAAACAAAUCUAAUUGUAUAUCACAUUAGUAUGGUCUGUACAAAGAUCGUUCAGCGUUACGUCAUCAUUAUUUAUCUGAUCGAAUUGACUUUUGAUUCUUUCUUGUUAUUGAAAUUUUGUUUCACAGCGCGAUCGAUUUUUAAUUUUAACACUGACCGAUACCCUUCAACGGGAUUAUAACAACAAAAGUGAAAUGACAGUUAACUGGAAACAAUAUGUACAGGGUGUCCCACUAAGAAUAGCUCUCGGCUGUAUCUCGGAAAGUAUUAGUCGUAGGGUUUGCGGAAAAAAAUAUUUAUGACUAAAGAGAGCAUGAGAAAUUGCUGGAAAUUGGAAAGCUGUUGAAUGUAGACGCUAGGGGGCACUGUCUUAUAAUUUAACAAGCAUUGCGCGUUUUCUUCAAAAAAA
Sitophilus oryzae (rice weevil) is the source of this 3106-nucleotide RNA transcript. It is a transcript of the gene named 60 kDa SS-A/Ro ribonucleoprotein-like, with no coding region annotated. The record is from RefSeq and is a predicted model, not a curated record. The transcript has 9 exons. Lineage: Eukaryota; Metazoa; Arthropoda; Insecta; Coleoptera; Curculionidae.